Non-coding RNA from Poecilia reticulata (guppy), 608 nucleotides. The record is from RefSeq and is a predicted model, not a curated record. NCBI's taxonomy places the organism in Eukaryota, Metazoa, Chordata, Actinopteri, Cyprinodontiformes, Poeciliidae.
UUUUCUGUGUUGUCCUGGUUUCCUGGGAAGCUGCUACUUCCCCUCACAGCCACCAGAUGCCGCCACUGGGCGGAGCCCCUGGAGAAGUGCAGCGGCCAACCUGUAGACACACCUGUGUCUAAUCUGAGAGCUGCUGAGGUGCUUCAUAAGGAGCGACUAGCUGACACUCCAGUGCCUCAGUGUUUGCCUCUACUGGUUUCCUCGUUGUUCCCCUGAAACUCCUCGUGGUGGACGUUUAUUUCCCGUCUGGAAAUGCCCCUGUGUUUCCUCAYGACGCCAUUGGUGAUACCAAUCGGUUGCCAUCCUCGUGCACUCGCCUUCCUGGUCCUUCCCGUGGAUUCCCUUCAUUUCGCCUCAGGUUGUACCUGUUGCCGUUUGUAGCUCCGGGAGCUAGCYAUCUGGACCCUGCUGUGAUAUCAGCUCGCUCCUUUAACCCAGCCACCAAAACUUACCUGCUCGCUSUCCAACGGAAACCCGCUUCUCCGGCUGCCACCAUAGAAAAUCUUAAUCUGCCUUCAAUUUGACGACCGGUUCCCCCCUCCCAAAUCCAGGACUGUUCUCCCUUGAUCUCCACCUCCMCUUUCCCUUUAAUAAAUAUUGURUUUUUU